UUUUAAUUUAAUUCUAAACAUCAACAUUAUAAUUUAAAUUUAUAAAAUAACCAAUAAAUUCAUAUGUUAUAAAUUAUAGAUAUAUCAUACGUAUACUUGGGGUUCAUAAAUUAUAGUCUAGAAAUUCAUAAGUUAAAUAAAAAUAUAUUCAUAUAUUAAAAUAGAUUUAUCAGUAAAAAUUAAUAAAUAUACAAUUCAUAUUUAAAAAAUUCAACACCAAUGAAUAUAUACUUUAUAUGUAAUAUCUAGAUUUAAAAAAAUAAAUAAAUAAAAAUAAUAUAUAUAUAUAUAUAUAUUUUUUUUUUUUUUCUUUUUUUCCUUUUUCUUUUUUUCCUUCUCCCUUCUCCCUCCUCCCCGCCGACUGCCCUCUCCCCCUCCGCCUGCGUGCCGCCCAGCUUGCCGCCACCGUCCAGCAGCGUCUCUCCUCUCCUCCCGCUGCCGCGCGCCGCCUUCCCCUCCUCCCUCCUUUUCGCCGACGCUGACGAAGGACGAAGAGGCUGCCAUCGUCGAUUCGGCCUCCUGCUGGCGUCCUUUCGGCAAUCCGACGCUGGAUUCGGACUCCUCACCCCCGAAACCCACGGAGCAAGUCUCCCCCGCCGAUUUCCUCCAACGGCAACUUCAGAGGAGCUUCACCAGAGCAGCCCCUUUCCAGCCCCCAAUCCGAUGCCUUCCAGCGAGUUUCCGGCCGAAACUCUCGUGUUUUCGGACUCCCCGCAGCUCGAGUUUCACCCAGGCUCUUCCGGAUUUAAAUUCCGACACCGUUGGCAGGACCGGCUUCCGGACGUCCGAAAUAUUGCAAUUUCAACUCAAUAUAAUUUUAUUUAAAC
Molecule: long non-coding RNA, 827 nt
Filed under: Ricinus communis (castor bean)
Lineage: Eukaryota; Viridiplantae; Streptophyta; Magnoliopsida; Malpighiales; Euphorbiaceae
Description: long non-coding RNA (RCOM_LNC003136)
Source: RNAcentral